UCAACCAAGUAACAAAGGACUUCAGUUCAAAGCCAAGGGGGGAAUGAAAAGAGCGUGACCUGCACUCUGUCUUCAGAUGUCCCCACUUAGAUGUGUGUACGGGUGUGUUUCAUCACAUAAACUUCAUUGUGAGAGCAGCUUUUAUAGAGACGGGACUGAGGUUCAGUGGCCUCCACCUCCGUCUAUUGCGUUUGGUGUAUCGCACCACAGAUUCCACAUGUUCAGCAGUUCAGAGGUUAACUAUUUGCAGAAGUAGCAGAGCUGGAGGAGGGCACCGUCUCUCAGACAGCCAGUCAUCAAAAGUGUGUGAUGUCCAGAGUCCUGAUUUUAAGGUUGUGUGUUCAUACCGAGCAUGUUUGGAGAAGUUUGCUUGACCUCUGUACUGCAGCCUUUACCUCUUUAAUUUAGUUCAACUUAACUAAAUGAUGCACUUAUUCAGCUAUAUUUUCAUGUAUUCUUUACUCAAGUGAAGACCGGAUACAAUUACAACAACUGAACCUGAAAUUUGAGUUUAAAUUGCCGCAAAUUAACAACAAUCUUUCUCGGCUUAAGUUACAACACUGCAAUUGGAUUUGUUUCAAUUCUUCCAGAGUACUGAUAUUUGAGAUUUAAGUUACAUUUGAGUGCUUAUAAUCAACAUUACAUGUAUGUGAAAGGGUUCACUUGAAGUGACGAACCUGUAGAGAAUUACCACCAAAUUCUCCGACAGCUGACAGACAGCAUGAAGCAGAAGCAGCAUUGCACGCUGUGCGUCCAUGUCAUGGCGCAGCCCCUGCGGCAAACCAUUUCUGAUUCUCCGGGCUUUCUAAUCAUGCAUCCAUCAGACGGCUGAAGCGGAGGACAGGCGCCGAGAGAGGAGAAAUGGAGGAUGUAGGAGGGGGAGGAGGAAUGUGUUUGGUAAAUCUGCAGGGGGGGUGAGAGGAGCAGUGAUGUGGAGGAAGAGAAAAAGAAGGAGAGGAAGGUGAGGAGAGGGAAACAAAGGAGAAAGAGGAAGAAGAAAGGGAAGAAGAGGAGAAAGAAAGGCGGAAGAGAGUGAAGGGGUUAAAAAGUGUCCUAUCCACGCACACCGCAGGCUCAUGAAUCUUAACUGUGGGAUAUCUGGAAUUCAGACUCAAUCACCCAACGGAAAUUACCAGAGAAAGGGGGGAGAGAAGGCUAAAAAUGUAAAAAGGACAGUUCAUACUGCCUCUGUGCUUUCUCCGGAAAAAAUACUUGGGACAUGUUUGAUAGUUGCAUUGACCUUGUCUUAAUUCUUACACCAAAAAAAGCAGAAUCAUCUUGGGUAUUCUGUUUCAAGGAAUUAAGACAGAAGUUGAUCCCAAUAAAACUAUCUUUCCUGCUUCA
Thunnus maccoyii (southern bluefin tuna) is the source of this 1344-nucleotide long non-coding RNA. RefSeq lists it as uncharacterized. Lineage: Eukaryota; Metazoa; Chordata; Actinopteri; Scombriformes; Scombridae. The transcript has 2 exons. The record is from RefSeq and is a predicted model, not a curated record.